This 469-nucleotide ribosomal RNA is filed under the name uncultured bacterium. RNAcentral's name for it is "partial 16S ribosomal RNA". It matches the Rfam family "Bacterial small subunit ribosomal RNA", at positions 28 to 507 of the family's 1533-position model. The record is from RNAcentral.
GAUGAACGCUGGCGGCGUGCUUAACACAUGCAAGUCGAACGGUGAACCCGGAGCUUGCUGUGUGGGCUCAGUGGCGAACGGGUGAGUAACACGUGAGCAACCUGCUCCUCACUUUGGGAUAAGCGCUGGAAACGGCGUCUAAUACUGGACAUGUGACGUGCCCGCAUGGUCUGCGUUUGGAAAGCUGUUUCGGUUGGGGAUGGGCUCGCGGCCUAUCAGCAUGUUGGUGAGGUAAUGGCUCACCACGGCGUCGACGGGUAGCCGGCCUGCGAGGGUGACCGGCCACACUGGGAUUGAGACACGGCCCAGACUCCUACGGGAGGCAGCAGUGGGGAAUAUUGCACAAUGGGCGAAAGCCUGAUGCAGCAACGCCGCGUGAGGGAUGACGGCCUUCGGGUAGUAAACCUUUUUUAGCAGGGAAGAAGCGAAAGUGACGGUACCUGCAGAAAAAGCGCCGGCUAACUACGUG